This is a long non-coding RNA of Symphalangus syndactylus (siamang), 11835 nucleotides long. RefSeq lists it as uncharacterized. NCBI's taxonomy places the organism in Eukaryota, Metazoa, Chordata, Mammalia, Primates, Hylobatidae. The record is from RefSeq and is a predicted model, not a curated record.
UGAUAAUUCCCUUCCUCUUUCCCUCCUAGGUAUAACUUACUACUUGGGGAUGAGGGGGAUCAAAUGUAGUCAGAACUGGAAGAGAGCUUAAAGAAGAUGAUUUGUUUAACCUGUGUCUUUUUUUUCACUUGAGAAAACAGAUCCUCCUUAAGUUGGCUGCACUAGUGAAGCUUAUUCAGUGAGCCAGGGGCAGUGCCAGGAUCUGAAGCCAGAGCUGCAGGCAAUGCCCAGGAGUAGGCAAGACUUGAUAGAAAAGCCUAAUCUCACCCAGAGAAGUUGAGUGUUAGCAUUAUGAGGCAUAGUUGUAAAUGGAAACUCAUCAUGAGAACCGAAUAUAUACAUAUUGUAAAACCAAAUGACAAGCUAUCAUUCAUGGAAGAUACUAGUAUUUAUUAGGUUCUAACUACAUACAAGAUGUUGUCCUAUAGGCUUCACACAUAAUACUUCAUUUCUCCUGACAUUUUGAUAAAAUAGGUACUGUUAUCUCCUUUUACAGGUAAGGAAACUGUGGUACACACUUUUGCAAGGCUACACAUCUAGUUAAUGGUGAAGCUAACGUUCAGACCCAGCUGGUUCAGCUCUAGACUUUGUCUCAGCUACUGAACUGAACUCUGUGUGCACUUACCAUGUGUCAUACCAGCUCUCAGUACAUAGUGUCCCAAAAGAUUGGGCAUGCUCUUUCUUUCAGAGACAAUUAGGAAAAAAGUAAACAAAUGGAGCAGGAUUUGGGCAUAACAGCAUGCUCCUCCCAUCCCCCAAAUCCCAGGAGUGUCACUGAGGUCAGUGCCAGUUAACUUAGUGCUCUUCAACUUCACAGCUACCCUUCUUUGCCGUAAAUUGUGACAUUAGAGCUGAAAUCUGUAAACGUCUUUAUGGUCAGUUGGCACAAUGUUUAGCUUUGUCAAUAGAAGGUGCUAGGGGAACACUGCAGAAAGAAAGGGGCUCCUUUUCUUGGUUCCAGUACUUUCCUGCUUGCUCCUAUGGUAUGGUGGCCAGUGAGUGACUUUCUGACCAAUGGUGUGCAAGAAGGCCAUGUUACGUAAUCUUCAGUAAAUUUGGCCAGUUCCCUAGUAUGUGUCUUUCUAUGGAGUACCACUGGUACGUCAGUGGAAUGGCUUCCUAGCAAGUUUUACUGAAAACACAGCUGAUGGUUUCCUCAGCAGCCCAGUGUGUGACACCUUAAAUUUCUGGAUCAUUAAGUGGACCACAGCCAUAUUAUUUCCAAUGAGCGCUUACUCUCAGGCUUAGUAGGGUGGAGGGUGGGUAGGGGGAAGUUCUUCUCAGUUAUUCCCUCCUUGGGUACUCUCCUACAGCCUGAGAGAUAGUGGCUGUUCCCAAUAACCACUAUUACUGUAUUAUUUAGUGGGCUUUUUUCCUCUCCUAAUAGUCAAUACCCUUUGACUGGAUCUUAACUGAUAAAAGUGGAACCCUGAGGAAAGCACUAUCCUUGGAGUCAGAAAUUGGGAUCAGACUAUUUUUUUCUUUCUAUUAUGGUAUUCUUCAUAUUUGCUUUAUUUCUCCACUACCUUUACCCUUUUUGGAUUUGAUGCUAUGUCAAGAAAAAAUUAUUUCAUCACUGAGCACUCUGAGUGUAGAGCAGAAUGCUAAAUGUUGCAUGCUAUUCCAGAAGAAAAGUAGUUUAGGAAUCCCAAAAGCCAAAGAAAGAAAGAUAUGAAUGCAUUGAGUUCUUAGAAGAGUUCUAUGAGAUAGAUGCUUGUGGCAAGCCUGGUCUCCACCCAGAUCUCCUAGGAUCCCUUUGGUUGAAUCUGAGUAUCUUUCCUCUAGCUUCUGUGUUCUUUUGCUUCUCACAGCCUGCCCUGAGACUCUCUUUGGAGGAAUGCCCAAACACUACUAGACUCACUUUGUCUACUGGCAUAGAAAGCCAGACAGAACCACCUGCAAGUUUACUUCUUUCCCAGGAUACCCUUUGCCAAGGACUUUCCUAUAGAGUAUAAAAGACCAGCCGUCUUGCCUCUAGUAGCAAGAAAACCUGAGGUGUAAUUUACACCCUGAGGCUCCCCUGUAGAAUUAUAUUGAUGUUAGGAUUUUGCCUGAAACCACCUUCUUCCCUAUCUUGCUUACUGUGGUACCUGAUGAGUUUUUCCUGGUAGCAUUUCUAUAAUAAAUCACUUGCAGACAAUCUUCAUCUCAGGGUUUGAUCCUGGGGAUCCUGACUUAAGACAUUGCUAUUCUUUUUUAUUUUUUUCCUUUUGCAGAUGAGGAAACUGAGGAUCAGGGCUUUUAAAUUGCCCCAAAUCACACUACUAAUAAGAGAUAGAGUCGUGGUACCUUUUUUAGAGGGACCAUUAUUCUGCUGACUAUAGUACUGUAGAGCAUAAAGUUUCUUAUCCACACUGUUUCUCAGUUCAGUCUGUCAAUAUCACUACUCCACGAUUAUUGUGUUUGUUUUUCUUUCUCCCUGUCUUUUACCUCAGAAAUCUCUAUUGUGAUGCCAGAGAGACCUUUCUGAAACCUCUCCUUUUUUCUGUGUUUAAAACCCCCCAGUGCCGCCCAUGAAAUACACAGCAAAGUCCAAACUCCUUAUCUUGCUGGGAUCCUCCUUUCCACCCUUUUUAACUGUUCAGCCAUAUUUCUCCAUGUACUUCUGAGACUGGAACCCAGGGCAACAAAGCUAAUGUGGGUUCUCCAAGAUUAACACAACUGAAAGGAGGCCCCUUUAUGUCAUCUUUUCUAGGUCCCUUGGAAUAUAAUUAAAAACAAGAAUUUCAACAUUGAAAUGUAAUGAUGUUCAGAUAAGGGCAGUGGCUUGAGCCAAUCUCCCACCAUGUCUGGGGACUGGGACAGCUGAGCCAGUGGUCCUACCUAAGGGUCAGGCCUGUGUCUUCACUUCUCCUUUCAACCCUUUACUUCUUCCAGAGUUGAACAGCUUACUUUCCUUCGCUCACUAGGCCAUUUCAUGGUUUGUGUUUGCCUGAAAUACAACUCUUUCCCUGCCUGGUCUACACCUGCUCACCCUCCAAGAAAUACCUCUGGGCCCACUUUCUUUCCUGGAAACAUUUUAUGACUCUUAUUUCUGUUACCAACACAGCUUUUAUUUAUGUCUCCAUGUAUCCUUUGAAGAAACACAACUUUCCAGGUUCUAUGUUUUAUUUGCAUUCUUAGUGUCUGGCACAUUGUCUGACACAGUGUAAAAGCUGAGUAGAAUUUUGCCUGACAACAGAUGUGCCUAAAGUGAGGGUGUCCAAAAUUUCAUUAAAUGACCGCUGCUUUAAUAUGAACUCUUGGCUAAGGCAGGAGAAUCGCUUGAACCCGGGAGGCAGAGGUUGCAGUGAGCCGAGAUCACACCAAUGCACUCCAGCCUGGUGACAGAGGGAGAAUCCAUGUCAAAAAAAAAAAAAAGAAUAUAUAUAUGAAUUCUUACUGCUAGUAUUAAACGAUUAUCUCUUUACACUCAUAGUAAUGUCUUACAAUAACAGAAUGCAGGAGAGCACAUAUAAAUGAAGAAAAGACAAAAUGUACUUACCAUGAAGCUGAAGUUAAGAAACCAGUGUCCUCAAGAGCCGGGGACAGCACUGGGUCUGUGCAGAGUUGAGAGAUGGUGAUGACAUGUGGUUUCCAGCAUUCCUGGCCCAGGCCGGGGACACUGUGGGUGUGCCCAGCUUAAGUCCAGUACCUGGAAAUACAAGCCCAAGUUCUGGAGAGUUUGAGCUGCAGAGAUAUAUAUGGGGACACUUUGAACCUUGACUCGUUGGCCAGAACCAGCAGAGUGGAAAAUACAAGAAGAGAAAAAAACAUUGAACUGCGAUUUUAUAACAUCCUUUACUAGGCAGAGAGAAGAGGAAAGACCAGGAAAGAAAACUGUAUUACAAUGUGAAAAUGUAAUGUUAAGAAAUUCAGGCAUCUUGGGGUUAGUGAGGAGAAGUUUUAGGGGCUUAGACUCUUCAAAACACAUGUACAGACAUGCAUAUUUCAUCUGAUAUCAAAUGACAUUUAUAGUGCUAAUCUUUACCUCAAGACUUCACAUCUUUUGGUGAUUGCAUCUUUUAGGUUUAUAGCAGUUAAGUUUGCAUGAACGCACCAGGGCUGUUUCAUUUCAGUCAAGAAUUAAUGUUCAUUGAUUGUACUCCUGCAUUUCAUAUAACUAUUGUAGAAUUUGUUUUAGUUUUAUGAGGGAAUAAUCGGUCCAACUUCUAUAUAAACUCAGGAAUUUACUCUCAGACAACACUGUCAAUUAGCUACUUAUCUCUCUGGAAAUGACCUGGGAACAUGGAGAGGAAAGGGAGGAAGAGGCAAAAUCUGACUACUUAAAUCUAAGUAUAUUAGAUAAUUUUGGUGGCUAGAAAGUCCUGAAUGAUGUGACUUUCAUUCUUGUAAAACACCUCUUUGCAUAGAUUUAUGGCCCAAACAGUAUAUAAAGAGUGGAGAAGGAACUGCAUUUGCAAAUAGUUCAAAUCAUUGCUCCAUCUUAACUAUGCAGUUCACAAAGUAUGAAGAAAUUUGAUCAUCUCAAAAAAGAUAAUGGAAAAAAGUAUGUUUUUUUCUGUGACUUUAAAGUCUUACAAUAUUUUACAUAAAUGAUAAUGGGUACUUUAAUAAGAGCCCUUGAUACUUUUGUUAUUGUAUUCAAUAUAUGCAUAUAAUACAACAGGAUGAUAUUGUUUUGGAUUUGGAAAUGUAUUCUUUCUUAUGCAAUCUUAUGCAGUCAUACUGCUUGAAUAUCACUACCUGAAUUUAUCUUUAUUUUUGUUGUUGUUGUUGUUUUGCACUCUACUUAUUUGGUGCCUGUCAGUCUUUUAUCAUCAGUUUAUAUUCUACUAAACUCAAAAAGACAAUCUCAUACCUUUUGUAAUUGUAGGCAUUCCUUACUAGAUUUUUAAAUACACUUCAAAAAUUCAAGUACUUUGAUUACAUGCCAUCAAGUAGCUGAAUCUAUCCCCCUCUCUCUUUUUAAAUUUAAGUGAGUAGUUCAAUUUCUGUCGUUUUGUACUUUGUGAAUUCUAAAUCUUUUAAAACCAUCUUGCCAUUUUUCAUGCACUUACCCUUACAGAAAACUCUAUGAAACACUACUUAUCUCUACUUUUGUUUUUAACUCCUUUUUUAUAUUACUAUUCCCUCUGCUUUCUAAAUACACAUAUUAAUUUGUUCUUUUUAUUCUCUGUAGCUCUUCUCAAUAUAUGAAUUCAGUUUCCCAUCAAUCCCCAUACAAUUAAAAAAAUAAAUGUUAUGUAUUCUGUUAUUUUAAUAUAUCUAGUGCCCAUAUUCUAAUUCUGCCUCUUAUUUUUAAAAUAAUUUUAUUGUUGAUUUAAAAUGACAACAGUUUCAAUUCCCAGAAAGUGAAAGGAAACAAAGGAAUAAUAUUAUGGGCUUAAUUUUUAUCAGUGAACUUGUAGGUGAAGAAAAGAUUUGGGGAAGGAAACGAACAUAUUAUAUUGCAAAAUAGUAAGGAACAAUCAGAUGUGUUUUCUAGUCUCUAGAAAAGCAUGUUUCAAGAAAUUCAACGAAAAGUUCAUCAUGCUUGCUUAGAUUGUUGAGAAGCAAAAAUACUGAUGAACAUUUGGAAGCAAUGAGAAUGUAAUUCUAAUCAUACUAUUUUAAUAAUUUUGAAAACUCUCCAAACACUACUCUGUGUGGAUAUCUUUCAGAAUAUGAUGAAUACUAGUGGUCUUAUUCUGCCCUUUUCUCUCUACCACAAUAUAUACAUUGCAUAUUGCACACACAUAUUUUCCAAAUAUUACAUAUAAUUUCAUGUAAUUUAUAGACCUAUUACGGCCCAACCAUUUUCUUGGAUAGGGGAUUCUUUGGAAGUCCAGCUUAAAUAAAGCCCUUAUAGAAAGUUUUUUUUUUAAAAUUUAUACAUAAUCACCUAAAGUAACCUUAUCUACUGAACUCUUAGUACAUGCUACCGGAACGUUUUAUCACGUUUCUUCCUGGCUUGUAUUACAACACUGUUGACAUAUCUCAGCCUCACUUCUAGGCUUCUUUGAGAGCAUGACUCAUGUUUGUAUUCCUCACUGAGGUUGAAUGAAUAAGAGAAACUACAGUAGUAGGAAAAAACCGCACAUGUAGAUAUCAGUGAAUAUGAAAGGGUCAAAUGGAUCUAUUAUAGUAAGCACAAAAUCAACUGACACCAGCAAAGUAAACCCAAAAUUUUUAAUGGUAUUUUAAUAGAUCAAGAGGGAGCAAGCAGAUUGCUAUCUGGGAAGGUGGUAAAGUUUUGAGAGAGUUGUCUCCUACUUUCUCUAUCACGGGGAGUAAUUUUAAAAGAAAAAUGGAGGGUAAGUUUCUUUAAGGGAAAAUUGUAGCUUAAAACAGGUUAUGGGAUAAUUAGAAAUAAUUUAAUUGCUUUAGCGGAUUUUAAACUUUCAACUGCUUGCAAUUAGAUCCUAAGGCAAUACAAGAAUCAGGAGGUUUGGAAAACCAUUGUCUGUAAUCUCUGAAGAAAAGUGGACAUCAGAGGAGUCAGUUGAAAAGCAAAGCUAUCACCAUUUUCUAAACAGGAAAAAGGUGAACCUCACAAACUAUAGACCAAAAAAAUAGGACAUCGAGAGAAAGAAUAUGAAGCUAGCAUAGGUUCACGAAGAAUGAGUCAAAUCAAACAACAUGCAUUUUUUAUUUAUAAAGCAUGACUUGUUCAUUGUCAAUUCAUGUUAGCUUAAUGAUUAGGCAUUAAUGUCAUCACUGCAAUGCAUAUGUCAGCAAUAAAUAAUCAAACACCAGGCUUCCAUCAUUCUGUUUAAUAUCUUCGAGUAAUGCUUAAGUUGGCAAAUGCUCUUUUAACACAUUCUCCAUAUGCAGCCUGCCCAGCACUGCACACAAUAGACCUGUUACUUCCCCUUCACGAGCACUCCUAAUAUUUCAUGUGCUCAUCCAAUUGACUUCUCCCACUGGUGCCUCAUAUUGAAUUUGUAGAAUCACACCGGCUCCUUUUUCAGAACUCUUCUGAGUUUUUUCUUAAAUAAUUCACUGACCCCAAAGUGUCAGAUAUUUGAAGACUACUUGCACAAUUUUAAUAUUAUAAAUGUAUAAUGUAAAUGUAAUCAAGAUUUGUAUAAUGUACAAUGUACUUUGGUAAAUAAAAGCUGUGAAUACAUAUGAUACAAUUCAAAAUUUUACAUAAAUAUGUGAUAAAGUUUAGCUCAUAUUUUUUUUUUUUUUCUUCACUCUGUCGCACCCAGGCUGGAGUGCAGCGGCACAGUCUCGGCUCACUGCAACCCCUACCUCCUGGAUUCAAGCGAUUCUCCUGCCUCAGCCUCCUGAGUAGCUGAGAUUACAGGUGCCCACCACCACGCCUAGCUAAUUUUUUUCUAUUUUUGUUGUUGUUGUUUUUAGCAGAGACAGGGUUUCACCAUGUUGGUCAGGCUGGUCUUGAACUCCUGACCUCAGAUAAUCCACCUGCCUCGGCCUCCCAAAGUGCUGAGAUUACAGGCAUGAGCCACCGUGCCUGGCCUAGUUCAUGUUCUUUAAGGACAAUUAUGAAUAUUUUUAUGUACAGUUAAUUUUCAUUAAGAUAUUGAUCAAUUAAUAGCUAUAUAUGUUCUAUAAAUUAAUCCUGUCUAGUUUCAAUCUUAAAUUGUUUGCAUAUACUAUUCUAGUUUAUUGUUUGCAUAUAUUUUAUAGUGUAGAGAUUAGGCAUUUUAAUAACAUUUUAAAAUUUCCAGGGCAUACUGUUAGUGACUAUGCUUCCUACUAUAGGCCAUAAUUAAGUUUUUUUCUAUUGUUAGCAAUAUUUUGAUAAAUAUGAUAAGGAAAUAAGGAAAUAUUUCCUUCAUUUGUUAACAAUAGGUGUUUGGGGAUUUUAAAAUGAAAAUUGAAGAAGUAAAAGACACCAGAUAUUUAGUUUGUUUGAUUUCAUGGCUUCAAGAGGUCAAUAAUUUAUUGAAAUAUUUUACAGACCAAAAGAACAACAGAUAUAUUAAAUUUGUAAGUCCCUACAUAUUUUAAAGGAUAAUGGUUUAUAUAUGAAAAUUCCUGAAGCUUACACUUCAUCAGGAAAAGCUAAAUAAAAGAAGUUAACAUUUUCCUAGGACUAAUGGAGAUUUAUUUCCCAGUCCUCUUCUCUGAAGACAAAUGUAGGUCUCUCUUGAAAAGCAGAAAGAUUUGCACAUAAGGUAUGAUUUAGUGGGCUAGAAACAUCUUUUACACUCUCCCCAAAAUGUUUCACUAUGUUUUAUCAUACUAUCUGAUAAUUUUGCAUUAAAGUUUUCUUUCUGAGUUAAGAAAAUGCAAAUAUCUCUGAAUGGGUCUCUUUGCUUUAGUCAUACUCAUAUGGCUACUACUGAACAAAAUAUGUUCAUUACAGGAUGAAGGGAAUGUUGCCAGCCAGCAAAUCCUUAGAGUCUGCACUACACCAAACGUUGCUUAGCAAUUUAUACGAUUUUCUCAGUCUAAUUUGCAAGUAUGAAGGAGACGUUUGUGUAUGUUAGAUAAAGUUGUAAAAUUGGUAUUUAUUGUAUGUUUCUAUAUUGAAAGCUUUACAAAGGAAAUGGAAAGUUAACAGGUGGAUAUGAUAGUGUGGCACUACUUUAGCUGGGUGGUAAGGGAGAGCUUCUCUUAGGAAGUGUUUUAGGCCAGGACUUGAAUAAUGAACAGUGUCUAGUUGUACAAAAAUCUAGGGGAAAGACUUUUCAGGCCCAGGAGAAAUGAAAAUUCUUUUCAUGCAUACAAGAAUGAAAGUGAAAAUUACCUACUCUAUGUCCUGAAGUGGGAAGUUGGCUUGCCAGAGAGCAGGUAAUUUUCACUUUGGUUCUUUUAUGCCUUCAAUUAUACUACUUCUUAGGUUAGUUCAUAAGGGUUUCCACAAUUUGGUUCCCACUUAAAAUUUAAAACUUCCCUAACCCAUUCCCACCAUAUAUUGUGCUAAUCCAUGCAUUUGUGACUCUCUGUAUGCUGUUUUCAUUGUUUAAUAUUCUUCUCAUGCAUUCUUUCUUUCCUGGUAAUGAACUCAUCUUUGAAACUCCCCUUCAAGCAUUCUCUCCUUUAGGAGGUUGCUUCUCACUGUCUCCUGCCUACCACCCAUUAAAUUGUUCAAAUUUUAAGCUGCCAUUGUCUUGUGCAUUUGACACAUUGCUUUGCAAUUACUGAUUUACGUGUCUGCUUUUAUCACUGGUGAGGUUCUUUAGGAGAGAGACACUAUUAAUUCAUCUCUAGGCACAUAUGGUCCAACAUAUUAGAAGUACUACAGAGUGCUAUUACUAUGUAGUAUGUAGUAUUAGUAGUAGUUACCCACAAAUCGUUUUUAAAUAAGUGAUUAUAAUAUCUUUUGGUUAUUAUGAUUUAACACAAGAUAUAAUUUAUUUUCAGAAGUUUCCAUGAUAUAUUUGUUCUAGUUAAAAGCCAGUAGCCAUUAGAAUAUUACCAUUAUUUAAUGUAAAACAAUAAAAUAUUAAAUAUGAUCAUUCAUAUUUAAUACAAACUGAACUCAUGGAAAUAUUGUGUAAAGAUUGAGUAAUUUUUGACAUACAAUUUUAAAUUCAACUUUUCAUAUAGCAUACCUUAUAUUUUCAGCCUAUUUUUAAAUAUGUUGGCAUUGAAAGCCAGUUACUAAUUCGUUGAAUUCAUGAUUUCUUUUUAAGUUAUAGAAGUAGAAUUAUGUUUGAGACAUUAAUUGCAUUACAUUUACCAGACCUUGAGUUCUUAACAUGGAACCUGAGAGCUUCUCCAUUUCUUAAGUCCCUGGGAGAAAUAGAUUAGCUGGACGAGGAACUGAGAGGAAAAAUGGUCAGAGGUGUAGCAAGAGUUGGGAAGAAGGAACAAUUAUUUGCUUUCAAGUAGAUUUUUUCAUUGGUCUGUUUUCAGUGACAAACCCACUGCGUUAAUACAUGUAAAAUGAAAACAUUCAGGAAGUUCUCUUAGAAACAUCUCUCUGGCAGUUUCUAAUUCUACAAUGUUGUGUAAGUGAAAUAUCAUAGUUACCGUCAUAGUAAAUUGAGCCAAGAGAAACAAGGGAACAGGAGAAGAAAAGAAUUAAAAAGAGUUUUGUCUUUCAGUCUUCACUCUUUUUCUUCUUGCUUUUACCAGUCAUUCAAGUUUAUAUAAUUUCUUUAGAGAGGCUUCUACUAUGCAGAUCUUCCUUAAAGUCACUGGUAUUACCUGGCAUGAUAUGUGAGUCUUUAAUAUCAGUCCCUUUAUCUCUUUAUUUUUAAAGUUUAUAUCAGUACGGAGUCCUAGAUUCUUAAUUAAUAGGUUAGACUUUACUGCUAACAUUCUUUAUUCUGAUGCUCAGAUUUUCCAAAAUUUGGCCAGCAGGGUUCCUUAAAGCUGGUUACCUUGCCCUUUCAACAUGUCUCUCUGAUUCUUUUUUUUUUUUUUUUUUUUUUUUUUUUUUGAGACGGAGUCUCGCUCUGUCGCCCAGGCUGGAGUGCAGUGGCGCAAUCUCGGCUCACUGCAAGCUCCGCCUCUUGAGUUCACGCCAUUCUCCUGCCUCAGCCUCUCCGAGUAGCUGGGACUACAGGCGCCCGCCAUCACGCCCGGCUAACUUUUUGUAUUUUUAGUAGAGACGGGGUUUCACCGUGGUCUCGAUCUCCUGACCUCGUGAUCCGCCCGCCUCGGCCUCCCAAAGUGCUGGGAUUACAAGCGUGAGCCACCGCGCCCGGCCUCUCUGAUUCUUUAUAUUUAUUUAUUUAUGUAUUUGUUCAUUUAUUUAUUUAGAGACCAAGUCUUGCUCUGUCUCCCAGGCUGGAGUGCGAUGGCACAAUCUUGGCUCACUGCAACCUCUAUCUCCCAGGUUCAAGCAAUUCUCCUCCCUCAGCCUCCCGAGUAACUGGGACUACAGGCAUGUGCAACCAUGCCUGGCUAAUUUUUUUUUGUAUUUUUAGUAGAGACCAGGGUUUCACCAUGUUGGUCAGGCUGGUCUUGAUCUCCUGACCUCAAAUGAUCCAUCGCCUCGGCCUCCCAAAGUGCUGGGAUUACAGGCGUGAGCCGCCACACCCAGCCAUCCCUCUCAUUCUUUAAGUACUUCCAUGUUUUCUAAUGUACAAGAUGUCCAUAUUAUUUUGUUAUUUGUCUUCCCCAGCUCUGAAAUCUGCCUUUCCUUCAAGGAGCCUUGGUUCUUUCUAGUGACAAAUUAUAUUUAGAAACCAAGAUCUGGGUAUUUGACUUGUAUAUUGCUAUUAGUUGGCCAUUGUUUCUAGUCUCUUUCAGUAGACAGAGCUAAGAAAUGUAAAAAGAAAUAUUUGAAUGUAUGUAUAUGUAGUAUAUUAAGUACAUUUAAGCAUAUUAAAUUCAUGAGUUCAUACUAAUACUUUCAAUAAGCCACAAUUCCCUUUUCAUGUUUUCGAAGGAAAAAUAUCCAUUGUCUGUAUACAGUGGACAUAGAUAGUGAUAAUACUGAUCCUGAAAAGAGCAAUCUUAAAUAGAUCCCAUUAAUCAUUAAAGAUAACAUAUCUUAGAAUUCUAGAUAUUAAAGAGAGAGAUUACCCAGAGCUGUGAUCUAGAUAUUUUAUAGAUCUUUGCUGUGCUGUUUUGGAUUUGUGUUGGAGUAGAACAAUCAGAUGACAAAAGCUCAUCCCAUGUGGAAAAAUCAAAGCAUUCAUUACAGAGAGAAUUUGAAAUAAAUGCAUAUAUAUAAAAUAUAUAUGCAUAUAUAAUGCAUAUGUAUAAAAAUAUAUGCAUAUAUAAUGCAUAUGUAUAUGCAUAUUUUAUAUAUAUAUAUAUAUAUAUAAUGGGGGUUAUGAACAAUGAAGGAAAUAGUGAUCCUAUCUAUGUGGGAACAAUACUAAUAUCCUCCCUUUGGAUGAAUACAGUAGCUACAGAUGCAACUCUGGGGCCUCUGUUUAGCAAUAGCUUAACUAUUGCUUGGCUACAAGCAUGGAUAACUUGUUCAAAGAUAAUGAGGAGUUGUAAAUAUUUAAAUAAACAGGAUUUGCAACAUAAAAA